RNAcentral lists this long non-coding RNA (906 nucleotides) under Danio rerio (zebrafish). Its description in RNAcentral is "lncRNA (ENSDARG00000117535.1)". The record is from RNAcentral. Lineage: Eukaryota; Metazoa; Chordata; Actinopteri; Cypriniformes; Danionidae.
GUGCUUUUAAAGUCUCUAAAAUGCAGUAUUUACAUCUCAUAAUUAAAUAGAAAAUGAGUCAAAUAACUGCAAAAAGGUCCAGUUUUCCAGAAAAAAAAGAACAACCCCAUUCAAUAAGCUGGUUGCUGGUUAGUCAUGAUUCAUUUCACUCAAGUGAGGUUUGUCAGUCGUUCCCGAAUGAACCUGGUCGUCUGACAGGCGAAUCUGAAAUGCGCGCGCUCGCACCUGAUGGCGGGAAUAGAAGUGUGUGCACACGGCGCUCUUCAACACACACCCAUUAUUCCAAAGCAAAGCUGUGUGACGCGUCGUGAUCGAUGGCGGCCAUUAAUCACGCCAGCGCCGCGGCUAGAGAUUGAUGUGCACAAAUUCAAAUCUUCAAGCAGCGUUUGGGAAAUUAAAGCAGCCAGGCAAGGUUAGGGUCCUUCCCGGCGACGCUGAAUGAGCUCCCGGGGGUAAAGGAAUCUCAAGCUGAGGUCAGGAGAGCUUCUUUUAACCUGUGAACCGCCAGCUGUCAGCAGCACACAACGGAUGCCCUGUCAAAACGACGAGGAAAUGGGCAAAUAUAACUUCACACUGUACUUAAAAGGUCACAGAGACAUUUACGGCUAUGCGCGCCACCAGUUUACUUCAAAACCCCGCCGUCGAGUGCAAUGCUUUACAGUGGACAUAAAGCAGGAGAUGUUCAACAUCAUCACCGAUAAAUCUCGAAAUCAAAGCAAACCCAAAUGGAAGCAGAAACAAGUGAGUGAACAUUUCUGGGAGAUUUACUGCAGCGGGUCGAAAAUCUGUCUGCACAGCGACAAAGAACAAGGAAAUUGAUGUUAAAGAAAAACAUGACAUGCUCUUGUGAUCUGUGGUCUACAAAUUUGAAUUAGUUGUGAAUCAUCAAAGUAAUCAGAGCUCAUG